CACGUAGCUAGCCGUGGCUUAUUCCUCAGGUACCGUCACUUGCUUCGUCCCUGAGAAAAGAAGUUUACAACCCGAAAGCCUUCUUCCUUCACGCGGCGUUGCUGGGUCAGGCUUGCGCCCAUUGCCCAAUAUUCCCCACUGCUGCCUCCCGUAGGAGUCUGGGCCGUGUCUCAGUCCCAAUGUGGCCGGCCAACCUCUCAGUCCGGCUACUGAUCGUCGCCUUGGUGGGCCGUUACCCCGCCAACUAGCUAAUCAGACGCGAGUCCAUCUCAGAGCGAUAAAUCUUUGAUGUCCAGUGCCAUGCGACACAGACAUAUUAUGCGGUAUUAGCAGCUGUUUCCAGCUUGUUACUUCCCCACUCCAAGGCUAGGUUACUCACGUCGUUACUCACCCGUCCGCCACUAACGUACGUCCCAUCAGUUCGUACCGUAAAACUCCUUCGACGGGGUACUCCGUUCGACUUGCAUUGUGUUAAGCGACGCCGCCACGUCGUU
This 494-nucleotide ribosomal RNA is filed under the name uncultured Oscillospiraceae bacterium. RNAcentral describes it as "partial 16S ribosomal RNA". The record is from RNAcentral. Lineage: Bacteria; Bacillati; Bacillota; Clostridia; Eubacteriales; Oscillospiraceae.